AAAGGUAAUCUUUACAAAAAUGUCUUAUCAUACAAAAAAUAUGUACUUUAGCCAAUAUAUUACAUUGAAGAAAUCAUGCAACACGAAAAAUGAUUUUUAUAGAAUACUCCUCAAAUCUUUUUCAAUUGAAACUUCACUAACAAAAAAAUGCCUCGCAAAAGCUAAGAAACAAAUGAUAAGCCAACUUCGCAAACUUUAAAAUCAGUGAAUUAAUUUUAUACUUUUGAAUUAGUUGACUGCUUUUUGAGUGCAAUACUGAACAAUAAAUUUUCUAGCAACAAUAUGUCAACUAAGAAUAGUUUGUUACUUUAGAAACUUAGGAAGUUUCAAUGUGUAAUCUGUCAUCCUGUGCGAACCAUCUUUAUAUUUUUGGAAAAUUACAUUUUGCAGCUUCAACUACACAAAUACUUCUUCGCUCAAUGACUGAAUUUAUAAAGCAUUAAAUAAAAAACAAAAUAAAAUUUCAACAAUUAAAUACGUACUCUAUUACUUUUGCUAAUGUAUAACAAUUUAUUCAAUUUUACAGAUUCUUUUUAUCUUUAUAAAUUUUAUUUACCAAUUAGUAAUUUUUUAGGCAAUGACUAAAUAUAUACAAUUUUGAAUACAUUAAAAACACUUCGUUCCAAUGCAUAAAUACUUAAUUAAAUGAAUGGAAAUAAACUAUAUUCAAAUUCAAUUUGCAUUUACACAUUCCAACUACUAACAUUUAUUCCUCCCACAUUUGAACUACCAACAUUUAUUCACCCCACAUUUCAACUACCAACAUUUACUCACCAACAUCUAUCCUUCGUCUAUUUACAUAAACAUUCGAACUACUACUCACCUUUAACCAUUUUCUUUUUGGCAAGCAUUUUGCAAGCUUCCUGCCUAAUCAAGCUUCCUACGUGAUCGACUACAGCAAAAAGGUAACCUUCAUGUGAUAAAAAUAAAUUUAAAAUCUAUUUAUGAAUACUAUUAUGUUAAAAAGUUAUACAAAUGAUCUUUAAAUUUUUUGCUAUUCAAGAUUAAAUCUGUAGUGUCGAGUUCUCCUAUGAUAGUUUAAGGUAGCACACUAAAAUCAUGUUUUACAGUAUAACAUGUCCAUAUUAAUUUUUUUUUUACCUUAAGAAGACGCCGAAGUGUAGCACUCCACGCAGCACGGAGUGGGAAUGUCCACACUCUGCUCUGCGCGGAGUACGGAGACUCCGAGCUGUUUGCACUCCGCGUUGCAUGGAGUGCACUCCGCGAUAAAACUGAUCUUCGUCUUUAAAAAAUACUCUCCAACUAUAUUCUAAAUAGGAUCUCAGAUACACUGAUGAUAUGAGUAAAUGAGAUUUAAACAAAAUUUAACAUUCCUUCUAAAAAAAUUAUUUUAAUCCCUUUUGGAUAUAAAAUUUAGGUUUUUCCAAUUUAUCACUUCGAAAAAAUAAAAAUUCAACAGAAUUAACAUGAUGUAUUUUCUGAAAUCAACUAACACGCAUAAUGUGAAAAUUUUCAUUUGUCUAUUAACACUAGAAAAUCUUCUUGUUUAACUAACUAAUUUUUUACUUAACAUAAUCCUCAAUUACAUCAGACCAUUGUUUUUAUUUGCAUAAUUAACGCAAUUAUUAAAAAGUUUUUGACAAGCAU
RNAcentral lists this long non-coding RNA (1608 nucleotides) under Olea europaea subsp. europaea. Lineage: Eukaryota; Viridiplantae; Streptophyta; Magnoliopsida; Lamiales; Oleaceae. The record is from RNAcentral.